Molecule: microRNA precursor, 87 nt
Organism: Lepisosteus oculatus (spotted gar)
Lineage: Eukaryota; Metazoa; Chordata; Actinopteri; Semionotiformes; Lepisosteidae
Rfam family: let-7 microRNA precursor family
About the family: This family represents the microRNAs (miRNA) let-7 and mir-98. let-7 was identified from a study of developmental timing in C. elegans, and was later shown to be part of a much larger class of non-coding RNAs termed miRNAs. The extents of the hairpin precursors are not generally known and are estimated based on hairpin prediction.
Source: Rfam
GCAGUGUGAGGUAGUAGAUUGUAUAGUUGUAGGGUAGUGAUUUUGCCCUCUUUGGAAGAUAACUAUACAAUCUAUUGCCUUCCCUGA